AUGUAAUACCUCUAGCCUGAUUACCCUCCAACCUAACAUAAACUUCUACUCCUCUUAAUUAAAUUAAAACAUUCUAAAUAUUUAGUAUAUGAGAUAAAAAAAUACCCAGAGCUAUAGCUAAAGUACCGUAAGGGAAAGAUGAAAUAGAAAUGAAAUAACCUCACACACCAAAAACCAGAGAUUUCACCUCGUACCUUUUGCAUCAUGGCCUAACAAGUCUAAUCAGGCAAAACGAAUUUUAGUCUGACCUCCCGAAACUAAGUGAGCUACUCCGGGGCUACUUAAUGUUAAACCCGUCUCUGUAGCAAAAGAGUGGGAAGACCCCCGAGUAGAGGCAAUAAACCUAUCGAACUUAGUAAUAGCUGGUUGCUUAGGAAAAGGAUUUAAGUUCUUUCUUAAAAAUAUAUUAGCAAAACUAAGCAAACUCAAUUUUUAAGAACUAUUCAAUAAAGGUACAGCUUUAUUGAAAAAGGGGACAACCUAAAAUUUAGGAUAAUGAUUAUACCCUUAUAGGUUAAAGGCUAAGUUGGCCUAAAAGCAGCUAUCUUUAAAAAAGCGUCAAAGCUUCACCUUAAGAAUACCUUAAAUCUCAUUACAUUAUCAAAAUCCAUCAUUACUACUAAGCUAUUCUAUAUCUUUAUAGAAAAAUUUAUGUUAGGACUAGUAACAAAGAAUUAUUUCUCUUAUAUGUAAGCUUAAAUCAACCCGAAUACCUCCUUGAUAAUUAUUCAACUUUGAUCCCAGAGUAACACCACUUUACUUACAAAAACCCUACUCAAUUUAUUGUUAACCAAACACUUGAACAUAAAAGAAAGAUAAAAGAAUUAAGAAGGAACUCGGCAAACACAAGUCCCGCCUGUUUACCAAAAACAUCGCCUUUUGAAUAAUAUAAAAGGUAACGCCUGCCCAGUGACACUAUGUUUAACGGCCGCGGUAUUCUGACCGUGCGAAGGUAGCGUAAUCAUUUGUCUUUUAAAUGGAGACUUGUAUCAACGGCAUCACGAGGGACUUAACUGUCUCCUUAAUUUAAUCAGUGAAACUGAUCUCCCCGUAAAAAAGCGGAGAUAAAACCAUAAGACGAGAAGACCCUAUGGAGCUUAAAACAAUAAACUACUUGUAUAAUCUGCUAUUUAAUACCACUAAAAUACAAAUCUAGCCUAAGUUUUCUGUUGGGGCGACUGUGGAGAAAAACUUAUCCUCCAUGAAGAAUAAACUUUGAGCUACCACUCUUAGUAUUAGCAAGCCUAACUUAAAUUGAUCCAAUCUUUGAUCAACGGACCAAGUUACCCUAGGGAUAACAGCGCAAUCUAUUUCAAGAGUCCCUAUCGACAAAUAGGUUUACGACCUCGAUGUUGGAUUAGGACAUCCUAGUGGUGUAGCCGCUACUAAC
This 1390-nucleotide ribosomal RNA is filed under the name Leptobrachium hasseltii (Java spadefoot toad). Its description in RNAcentral is "partial 16S rRNA". It matches the Rfam family "Bacterial large subunit ribosomal RNA", at positions 377 to 2569 of the family's 2925-position model. The record is from RNAcentral. Lineage: Eukaryota; Metazoa; Chordata; Amphibia; Anura; Megophryidae.